GGGGGUAUAGCUCAUUGGUAGAGUGUGUGCUUAGCGUGCAUGAGGUCCUUGGGUUCAAUUCUCAGUACCACCA
RNAcentral lists this transfer RNA (73 nucleotides) under Camelus bactrianus (Bactrian camel). It matches the Rfam family "tRNA". Rfam says of the family: Transfer RNA (tRNA) molecules are approximately 80 nucleotides in length. Their secondary structure includes four short double-helical elements and three loops (D, anti-codon, and T loops). RNAcentral also lists the same sequence under 1 other name. The record is from Rfam by way of RNAcentral. Lineage: Eukaryota; Metazoa; Chordata; Mammalia; Artiodactyla; Camelidae.